CAGUAGCCGCGGUAAUACAGAGGGUGCGAGCGUUAAUCGGAUUUACUGGGCGUAAAGCGUGCGUAGGCGGCUUCUUAAGUCGGAUGUGAAAUACCUGAGCUUAACUUAGGAAUUGCAUUCGAUACUGGGAAGCUAGAGUAUGGUAGAGGAUGGUAGAAUUCCAGGUGUAGCGGUGAAAUGCGUAGAGAUCUGGAGGAAUACCGAUGGCGAAGGCAGCCAUCUGGCCUAAUACUGACGCUGAGGUACGAAAGCAUGGGGAGCAAACAGGAUUAGAUACCCCAGUAGUCCCUGUCUCUUAUAU
This 301-nucleotide ribosomal RNA is filed under the name uncultured bacterium. RNAcentral describes it as "partial 16S ribosomal RNA". It matches the Rfam family "Bacterial small subunit ribosomal RNA", at positions 509 to 809 of the family's 1533-position model. The record is from RNAcentral.